This 638-nucleotide ribosomal RNA is filed under the name Paenibacillus ourofinensis. Its description in RNAcentral is "bacterial SSU rRNA". It matches the Rfam family "Bacterial small subunit ribosomal RNA", at positions 47 to 683 of the family's 1533-position model. The record is from RNAcentral. Lineage: Bacteria; Bacillati; Bacillota; Bacilli; Caryophanales; Paenibacillaceae.
CCUAAUACAUGCAAGUCGAGCGGACCCUUCGGGGUUAGCGGCGGACGGGUGAGUAACACGUAGGCAACCUGCCUGUAAGACUGGGAUAACUACCGGAAACGGUAGCUAAGACCGGAUAAGUGAUUCUCUCGCAUGAGAGGAUCAAGAAACACGGGGCAACCUGUGGCUUACAGAUGGGCCUGCGGCGCAUUAGCUAGUUGGUGGGGUAACGGCUCACCAAGGCGACGAUGCGUAACCGACCUGAGAGGGUGAUCGGCCACACUGGGACUGAGACACGGCCCAGACUCCUACGGGAGGCAGCAGUAGGGAAUCUUCCGCAAUGGACGCAAGUCUGACGGAGCAACGCCGCGUGAGUGAUGAAGGUUUUCGGAUCGUAAAGCUCUGUUGCCAGGGAAGAACGUCGUGGAGAGUAACUGCUCUGCGAAUGACGGUACCUGAGAAGAAAGCCCCGGCUAACUACGUGCCAGCAGCCGCGGUAAUACGUAGGGGGCAAGCGUUGUCCGGAAUUAUUGGGCGUAAAGCGCGCGCAGGCGGCCGCUUAAGUCUGGUGUUUAAGCCCGAGGCUCAACCUCGGUUCGCACUGGAAACUGGGUGGCUUGAGUGCAGGAGAGGAAAGCGGAAUUCCACGUGUAGCGGUG